CGGACGGUAGCACAGAGAGCUUGCUCUUGGGUGACGAGUGGCGGACGGGUGAGUAAUGUCUGGGGAUCUGCCCGAUAGAGGGGGAUAACCACUGGAAACGGUGGCUAAUACCGCAUAACGUCGCAAGACCAAAGAGGGGGACCUUCGGGCCUCUCACUAUCGGAUGAACCCAGAUGGGAUUAGCUAGUAGGCGGGGUAAUGGCCCACCUAGGCGACGAUCCCUAGCUGGUCUGAGAGGAUGACCAGCCACACUGGAACUGAGACACGGUCCAGACUCCUACGGGAGGCAGCAGUGGGGAAUAUUGCACAAUGGGCGCAAGCCUGAUGCAGCCAUGCCGCGUGUAUGAAGAAGGCCUUCGGGUUGUAAAGUACUUUCAGCGGGGAGGAAGGCGACGGGGUUAAUAACCCUGUCGAUUGACGUUACCCGCAGAAGAAGCACCGGCUAACUCCGUGCCAGCAGCCGCGGUAAUACGGAGGGUGCAAGCGUUAAUCGGAAUUACUGGGCGUAAAGCGCACGCAGGCGGUCUGUUAAGUCAGAUGUGAAAUCCCCGGGCUUAACCUGGGAACUGCAUUUGAAACUGGCAGGCUUGAGUCUUGUANAGGGGGGUAGAAUUCCAGGUGUAGCGGUGAAAUGCGUAGAGAUCUGGANGAAUACCGGUGGCGAAGGCGGCCCCCUGNU
This 679-nucleotide ribosomal RNA is filed under the name Pantoea agglomerans. Its description in RNAcentral is "bacterial SSU rRNA". It matches the Rfam family "Bacterial small subunit ribosomal RNA", at positions 63 to 733 of the family's 1533-position model. The record is from RNAcentral. Lineage: Bacteria; Pseudomonadati; Pseudomonadota; Gammaproteobacteria; Enterobacterales; Erwiniaceae.